CUAACUUUAUAUUUUUCACAAGUGACUGAUUUUACAAUUCAAAUACGCGAUUUUCAGUUCAUAUGACAACAAGUACUUUAUCAGUUACAUCAAAUAAUGCGUUCUAUAUUUAAACAAUUUCAAAGGUCUAUAUAUACUAUUAUAUGUGUGUGACAUUUCAUAAAUCAAGAAAAUUCACUCACACAAUUAGUUCUCUUCUUCCUCACAACCAAAUAGUGUUAAAAUGGCCAACAACAAGUUCCUAUCUCACAAGCUUUCUUUCUUUUUUUGUUUUCUACUUGUGACACUCAUUGUUAAUUCAUUUUGGUCAUGGAACAUUAAAGUGAUGGCUUUACGAGACCUAUCAUUAGAAGUACAAGUGAUUAAGCAGAUUGUACUACCAAAAUUGAGCUAUGCUCACAAAUGUUUUGAUCAAUGUGAAAUUAAUUUUGAUUGCAGAAAAUUGCAAGGCUGUGGGUAUUGUCGAAAAUCAAGUUAUAAGUCAAAAUUUAAGAGAUGUUUGACUCCACGUUGACGGGUUUUUUGAAGGACGGGAUUGGAUUAGGAGCGUUUUUAUUUCAAUUCUUUUUUUGUUUGAUAAGAAAUGUGAGUGUGUUUUUUUUGU
This is a long non-coding RNA of Solanum stenotomum, 604 nucleotides long. RefSeq lists it as uncharacterized. The transcript has 2 exons. NCBI's taxonomy places the organism in Eukaryota, Viridiplantae, Streptophyta, Magnoliopsida, Solanales, Solanaceae. The record is from RefSeq and is a predicted model, not a curated record.